Molecule: long non-coding RNA, 650 nt
Filed under: Nicotiana benthamiana
Lineage: Eukaryota; Viridiplantae; Streptophyta; Magnoliopsida; Solanales; Solanaceae
Description: long non-coding RNA (NBEN_LNC019698)
Source: RNAcentral
UCAGUUUUUCCUUUUAAAUCUGUGUCUUCUUCUGCUUCUCCUCCUGCUUCCUCUUUUCCCUUAUUCCAUCUGGAGAACAUGAUGAUGCCUCUGAUUCUCCCAUUCCUCUUUCUCCUCCCUCUUCUCCAUCUGGUCCUACUCCUUCCAGUCCUGCUGGUCCACCUUCUGUUUUAGUUCCUUCUUCCUCUGUUCCUGCUCCAAGAAAGUCUCAAAGACAACAUAAUCCUCCUUCCUAUCUUCAGGAUUAUGUCUGUCAACUUCCUGCCUUCUCUGGCUCAUCUUCCUCCUCUUUGGAAUCUGAGCCUCUAUGCUAUUCUUAGGCUGCAUCUGUUCCAGCUUGGCAAGCUGCCAUGAGACAGGUGUUUGAAGCUUUGGACACUAACCAUACUUUGGAUGUUGUCCCUCUUCCUCCUGGUGAGAAACCCAUUGGUUUUAAAUGGGUUUAUGAAGCUUUGGACAACUAACCAUACUUGGGAUGUUGUUCCUCUUCCUCCUGGUAAGAAACCAAUUGGUUGCAAAUGGGUUUACAAGAUUAAAUACAAGGCUGAUGGCAGUGUUGAAAGGUAUAAAGCCAGGCUGGUUAUUAGGGGUGACACACAGGUUGAGGGGAUUGAUUUUACUGAAACUUUCUCUCCAGUGAUUAAAAUGAC